This is a long non-coding RNA of Strongylocentrotus purpuratus (purple sea urchin), 369 nucleotides long. RefSeq lists it as uncharacterized. The record is from RefSeq and is a predicted model, not a curated record. Lineage: Eukaryota; Metazoa; Echinodermata; Echinoidea; Camarodonta; Strongylocentrotidae. The transcript has 3 exons.
UAUAAGGGAAGCAAACAGAAGGGUAGUAAAGUAAUAAUCAUUCAACAAUCAAGAGUUCACCAAGAUCAUCGUCGUGACGGCAAGCUUCCAAACAAGUCUGUAGUAAUCACCAGCUUGGCCAACUGUCAGAUAGUAUCUACCAGGGGAGUAUGUCAGAGAAGGAGAGAACCAUGUCUGGGACAACAAAAUCACACAUGUUUUUGCACAAGGCAGGGGGGUUCCUAAAGGACAAAGAACAACUGGUGAUCUGCAAGCUAGCUUCACCUGGCAUUGAGGAGCGUCCAGAGAUUCAAAUAUUCACCGAUGGAUCCGGAGAACCAAAUUCUAUCGUCAAAGUAAAAUCCUUCGCAGCCGUGCAAAAGGGCGACC